RNAcentral lists this ribosomal RNA (397 nucleotides) under uncultured bacterium. Its description in RNAcentral is "bacterial SSU rRNA". It matches the Rfam family "Bacterial small subunit ribosomal RNA", at positions 28 to 428 of the family's 1533-position model. The record is from RNAcentral.
GACGAACGCUGGCGGCGUGCUUAACACAUGCAAGUCGAGCGGUAAGGCCCUUUCGGGGGUACACGAGCGGCGAACGGGUGAGUAACACGUGGGUGACCUGCCCUCAGCUCUGGGAUAAGCCUGGGAAACCGGGUCUAAUACCGGAUAUGACUCCAUGACGCAUGUUGUGGGGUGGAAAGCCUUGUGCGGCUGAGGAUGGGCCCGCGGCCUAUCAGCUUGUUGGUGGGGUGAUGGCCUACCAAGGCGACGACGGGUAGCCGGCCUGAGAGGGCGACCGGCCACACUGGGACUGAGACACGGCCCAGACUCCUACGGGAGGCAGCAGGUGGGGAAUCUUGCGCAAUGGGGCGAAAGCCUGACGCAGCGACGCCGCGUGAGGGAUGACGGCCUGGUGUAA